CCUACGGGAGGCAGCAGUGAGGAAUAUUGGACAAUGGGCGCAAGCCUGAUCCAGCCAUGCCGCGUGCAGGAAGAAGCAUCUAUGGUGUGUAAACUGCUUUUGUACAGGAAGAAACACUCCCUCGUGAGGGAGCUUGACGGUACUGUAAGAAUAAGGACCGGCUAACUCCGUGCCAGCAGCCGCGGUAAUACGGAGGGUCCGAGCGUUAUCCGGAAUCAUUGGGUUUAAAGGGUCCGUAGGCGGUUUAAUAAGUCAGUGGUGAAAUCUGGUCGCUCAACGAUCAAACGGCCAUUGAUACUGUUAGACUUGAAUUAUAAGGAAGUAACUAGAAUAUGUAGUGUAGCGGUGAAAUGCUUAGAUAUUACAUGGAAUACCAAUUGCGAAGGCAGGUUACUACUUAUGGAUUGACGCUGAUGGACGAAAGCGUGGGGAGCGAACAGGAUUAGAUACCCUGGUAGUCCACGCCGUAAACGAUGGAUACUAGCUGUUCGGAGCAAUCUGAGUGGCUAAGCGAAAGUGAUAAGUAUCCACCUGGGGAGUACGUUCGCAAGAUGAAACUUAAUGAAUUGACCGG
This 574-nucleotide ribosomal RNA is filed under the name uncultured bacterium. RNAcentral's name for it is "bacterial SSU rRNA". It matches the Rfam family "Bacterial small subunit ribosomal RNA", at positions 338 to 917 of the family's 1533-position model. The record is from RNAcentral.